GUGCAUAGCCAUACCACCCUGAACACGCCCGAUCUCAUCUGAUCUCGGAAGCUAAGCAGGGUCGGGCCUGCUUAGUACCUGGAUGGGAGAAGUAAGUGAAUAACAUCUCUUUGGUAGUGCUGCUGGUAUACUGA
This 134-nucleotide ribosomal RNA is filed under the name Erinaceus europaeus (western European hedgehog). Lineage: Eukaryota; Metazoa; Chordata; Mammalia; Eulipotyphla; Erinaceidae. The record is from RNAcentral.